This 27-nucleotide non-coding RNA is filed under the name Homo sapiens (human). Lineage: Eukaryota; Metazoa; Chordata; Mammalia; Primates; Hominidae. The record is from RNAcentral.
UGCAGACAUGGAAAUGACCAUCAUGAA